RNAcentral lists this ribosomal RNA (957 nucleotides) under Stenotrophomonas sp. SL21. RNAcentral describes it as "bacterial SSU rRNA". It matches the Rfam family "Bacterial small subunit ribosomal RNA", at positions 73 to 1021 of the family's 1533-position model. The record is from RNAcentral. Lineage: Bacteria; Pseudomonadati; Pseudomonadota; Gammaproteobacteria; Lysobacterales; Lysobacteraceae.
UAAGAGCUUGCUCUUAUGGGUGGCGAGUGGCGGACGGGUGAGGAAUACAUCGGAAUCUACCUUUUCGUGGGGGAUAACGUAGGGAAACUUACGCUAAUACCGCAUACGACCUUCGGGUGAAAGCAGGGGACCUUCGGGCCUUGCGCGGAUAGAUGAGCCGAUGUCGGAUUAGCUAGUUGGCGGGGUAAAGGCCCACCAAGGCGACGAUCCGUAGCUGGUCUGAGAGGAUGAUCAGCCAAACUGGAACUGAGACACGGUCCAGACUCCUACGGGAGGCAGCAGUGGGGAAUAUUGGACAAUGGGCGCAAGCCUGAUCCAGCCAUACCGCGAGGGUGAAGAAGGCCUUCGGGUUGUAAAGCCCUUUUGUUGGGAAAGAAAAGCAAUCGAUUAAUACUCGGUUGUUCUGACGGUACCCAAAGAAUAAGCACCGGCUAACUUCGUGCCAGCAGCCGCGGUAAUACGAAGGGUGCAAGCGUUACUCGGAAUUACUGGGCGUAAAGCGUGCGUAGGUGGUUGUUUAAGUCUGUUGUGAAAGCCCUGGGCUCAACCUGGGAAUUGCAGUGGAUACUGGGCAACUAGAGUGUGGUAGAGGGUAGUGGAAUUCCCGGUGUAGCAGUGAAAUGCGUAGAGAUCGGGAGGAACAUCCAUGGCGAAGGCAGCUACCUGGACCAACACUGACACUGAGGCACGAAAGCGUGGGGAGCAAACAGGAUUAGAUACCCUGGUAGUCCACGCCCUAAACGAUGCGAACUGGAUGUUGGGUGCAAUUUGGCACGCAGUAUCGAAGCUAACGCGUUAAGUUCGCCGCCUGGGGAGUACGGUCGCAAGACUGAAACUCAAAGGAAUUGACGGGGGCCCGCACAAGCGGUGGAGUAUGUGGUUUAAUUCGAUGCAACGCGAAGAACCUUACCUGGUCUUGACAUGUCGAGAACUUUCCAGAGAUGGAUUGGUGCCUUC